Molecule: ribosomal RNA, 253 nt
Filed under: uncultured bacterium
Lineage: Bacteria
Description: partial 16S ribosomal RNA
Rfam family: Bacterial small subunit ribosomal RNA
Source: RNAcentral
UACAGAGGUCCCGAGCGUUGUUCGGAUUCACUGGGCGUAAAGGGCGCGUAGGUGGCGCUGUAAGUGGGGUGUGAAAUCCCGGGGCUUAACUCCGGAACUGCAUUCCAUACUGCGGUGCUUGAGGACGGGAGAGGAGACUGGAAUUUACGGUGUAGCAGUGAAAUGCGUAGAGAUCGGAAGGAAGACCAGUGGCGAAGGCGGGUCUCUGGACAGUUCCUGACGCUGAGGCACGAAGGCCAGGGGAGCAAACGGG